This 254-nucleotide ribosomal RNA is filed under the name uncultured bacterium. RNAcentral's name for it is "partial 16S ribosomal RNA". It matches the Rfam family "Bacterial small subunit ribosomal RNA", at positions 524 to 776 of the family's 1533-position model. The record is from RNAcentral.
UACGGGGGGAGCAAGCGUUGUUCGGAUUUACUGGGCGUAAAGGGCGCGUAGGCGGUCGUGACAAGUCACUUGUGAAAUCUCCGGGCUUAACUCGGAACGGUCAAGUGAUACUGUCGGACUAGAGUACAGAAGGGGCAACUGGAAUUCUCGGUGUAGCGGUGAAAUGCGUAGAUAUCGAGAGGAACACCUGCGGCGAAAGCGGCUCACUGGACCACAACUGACGCUGAGGCGCGAAAGCUAGGGGAGCAAACAGG